RNAcentral lists this ribosomal RNA (253 nucleotides) under uncultured bacterium. Its description in RNAcentral is "partial 16S ribosomal RNA". It matches the Rfam family "Bacterial small subunit ribosomal RNA", at positions 524 to 776 of the family's 1533-position model. The record is from RNAcentral.
UACGUAGGGGGCAAGCGUUGUCCGGAAUCAUUGGGCGUAAAGCGCGUGUAGGCGGUUUGAUAAGUCCGCUGUGAAAGUCGGGGGCUCAACCCUCGGAAGCCGGUGGAUACUGUUGGACUUGAGUACGGAAGAGGCGAGUGGAAUUCCUGGUGUAGCGGUGAAAUGCGCAGAUAUCAGGAGGAACACCAAUUGCGAAGGCAGCUCGCUGGGACGUUACUGACGCUGAGACGCGAAAGCGUGGGGAGCAAACAGG